RNAcentral lists this ribosomal RNA (397 nucleotides) under bacterium enrichment culture. Its description in RNAcentral is "bacterial SSU rRNA". It matches the Rfam family "Bacterial small subunit ribosomal RNA", at positions 521 to 916 of the family's 1533-position model. The record is from RNAcentral.
UAAAACGUAGGAGGCAAGCGUUAUCCGGAUUUACUGGGCGUAAAGCGCAUGCAGGUGGUUUUGUAAGUUGGAUGUGAAAGCUCCUGGCUUAACUGGGAGAGGUCGUUCAAAACUACAAGACUUGAGAUUGGUAGAGGAAAAUGGAAUUCCGGGUGUAGUGGUGAAAUGCGUAGAUAUCCGGAGGAACACCAGUGGCGAAAGCGGUUUUCUGGACCAAUUCUGACACUCAGAUGCGAAAGCUAAGGUAGCAAACGGGAUUAGAGACCCCGGUAGUCUUAGCUGUAAACUAUGUGAACUUGGCGUCGGUGGGUUCAAAUCCAUCGGUGCCGAAGCAAACGCGAUAAGUUCACCGCCUGGGGACUACGGCCGCAAGGUUAAAACUCAAAUGAAUUGACGG